GAGCAACGCCGCGUGAACGAAGAAGGCCUUCGGGUCGUAAAGUUCUGUUGUUAGGGAAGAACAAGUACCAGAGUAACUGCUGGUACCUUGACGGUACCUAACCAGAAAGCCACGGCUAACUACGUGCCAGCAGCCGCGGUAAUACGUAGGUGGCAAGCGUUGUCCGGAAUUAUUGGGCGUAAAGCGCGCGCAGGUGGUUCUUUAAGUCUGAUGUGAAAGCCCACGGCUCAACCGUGGAGGGUCAUUGGAAACUGGGGAACUUGAGUGCAGAAGAGGAAAGUGGAAUUCCAAGUGUAGCGGUGAAAUGCGUAGAGAUUUGGAGGAACACCAGUGGCGAAGGCGACUUUCUGGUCUGUAACUGACACUGAGGCGCGAAAGCGUGGGGAGCAAACAGGAUUAGAUACCCUGGUAGUCCACGCCGUAAACGAUGAGUGCUAAGUGUUAGAGGGUUUCCGCCCUUUAGUGCUGCAGCUAACGCAUUAAGCA
RNAcentral lists this ribosomal RNA (486 nucleotides) under Peribacillus simplex. RNAcentral's name for it is "bacterial SSU rRNA". It matches the Rfam family "Bacterial small subunit ribosomal RNA", at positions 389 to 866 of the family's 1533-position model. Lineage: Bacteria; Bacillati; Bacillota; Bacilli; Caryophanales; Bacillaceae. The record is from RNAcentral.